GAUGAACGCUGGCGGCGUGCUUAACACAUGCAAGUCGAACGAUGAAGCUCAGCUUGCUGGGUGGAUUAGUGGCGAACGGGUGAGUAACACGUGAGUAACCUGCCCUUAACUCUGGGAUAAGCCUGGGAAACUAGGUCUAAUACCGGAUAGGAGCGCCUACCGCAUGGUGGGUGCUGGAGAGAUUUAUCGGUUUUGGAUGGACUCGCGGCCUAUCAGCUUGUUGGUGAGGUAAUGGCUGACCAAGGCGACGACGGGUAGCCGGCCUGAGAGGGUGACCGGCCACACUGGGACUGAGACACGGCCCAGACUCCUACGGGAGGCAGCAGUGGGGAAUAUUGCACAAUGGGCGAAAGCCUGAUGCAGCGACGCCGCGUGAGGGAUGACGGCCUUCGGGUUGUAAACCUCUUUCAGUAGGGAAGAAGCGAAAGUGACGGUACCUGCAGAAGAAGCACCGGCUAACUACGUG
This 466-nucleotide ribosomal RNA is filed under the name uncultured bacterium. RNAcentral's name for it is "partial 16S ribosomal RNA". It matches the Rfam family "Bacterial small subunit ribosomal RNA", at positions 28 to 507 of the family's 1533-position model. The record is from RNAcentral.